Molecule: transfer RNA, 77 nt
Filed under: Nocardioides phosphati
Lineage: Bacteria; Bacillati; Actinomycetota; Actinomycetes; Propionibacteriales; Nocardioidaceae
Description: tRNA-Arg
Source: RNAcentral
CGAUCGCGGUGCGGAGGCCGGCGAGCGCGCCCUUCGACGGAGCGGGAGCCUCGUCGUUCGACUCCUCGACGAUCGGC